Molecule: transfer RNA, 69 nt
Filed under: Gromphadorhina portentosa (giant Madagascar hissing cockroach)
Lineage: Eukaryota; Metazoa; Arthropoda; Insecta; Blattodea; Blaberidae
Description: tRNA-Gln
Source: RNAcentral
AUAUAUUUGGUGUAAGAUGCAUAUAAAUUUUUGAUAUUUGAGGGAUUAGUUUGAUUCUAAUAGUAUAUA